AUAAUCGUGAAGCAAUAAGGUCUCAAUUUUAACAUUGAGUGAAAAGGGAAGUUUGGUGCAAGUCCAACGCGGUCCCGCCACUGUAAACGUUAGAUGUCUAAAGAUGCCACUGUUUGAAAAGUGGGAAGGCUUAGUACAUCAUAUACGUAAGUCAGGAGACCUGCCUUAUUGUCAACUGUGAA
This 182-nucleotide non-coding RNA is filed under the name Bacillus sp. (in: firmicutes). Lineage: Bacteria; Bacillati; Bacillota; Bacilli; Caryophanales; Bacillaceae. The record is from RNAcentral. RNAcentral also lists the same sequence under 1 other name.